UUUCGAUUCAACGCGAUAUAUUUUGCUUGCACUAGCGUACUAUAUACCUGUAUCUCUCUGUUUGUGCCUAAACCAGUUGCGCAUGCCUGCAAUCUUAGUAUUACAGUCUAGUAUGGUUCGGUCUGCCGGUGAGAACGUUAGCAUGCCUUAUGGCUCGCGAUCAUUAUUGAGUAUUUAAUUUGGUUAAUCAAUUUAUAUUCGAUAACCGCAUAUCUCUCGCGUUUUGCUGUUAUAGUUUCAUAAUUUAUUUUUUGCAAGUGACUUCACACACAGAAAUCGUGAUAAUCGAACUAAUUUUCUCUUUCAAUGACCGCCGUUUGCUAUUGUUUAUCAACUAAUAUGGGCAUCGCAAUUGAAGAAAGUGACGCUAAUCGUACGUGAUGUGCGGUACCAUAUUCAGGAGUAAUUUUGGCUGGUUUUAGGGACUUUGCACCUGAGUCUAACACUGUAGAAGGACCAUUCUUGCAUUAGAUUGGAUUUUGUACCUGAGUGUGACACCGCAGAAGGACCAUUCUUGCAUCAGAUUUGAUUUUGCACCUGAGUUUGACACCGUAGAAGGACCAUUCUUGCAUCAGAUUAUAAGGAUUUCGUACCUGAGUCUGACACCGCAGAAGAACUAUUCUUGCAUCAGAUUGGAUUUUGCACCUGAGUCUGACACCGUAGAAGGACCAUUCUUGCAUGAGAAUUUUAGUCGAUCGCGCGCUGUGCUGCGGUUAACACGUGUUUUGGUCGUCAGUCGAUCUGCGUAGCGACUUUUCGCGUGUCUUACUUUAAUUCUGUAAUUGCCUUCAUUGGCCUUUCGUAACAGGCUAAUGUGGCACAACCCCAAUUAAUCAUCGGUUCGGUUCGCUUGUGCGCUUGUUACGUCGGCCGUCGCUAAGUAUUAUUCGGUUGUGGCAUUAUCUACAACCGAGUUGGUCUUUAUGUGCGCCGCGUGCGUGUUUAUCGGCAGUCGUUUAUCUUCUCGCAUAUUGGCAAAACUAGGGUUUAUUAUUAAUUCCUGCUGAUAGACAACGUUGGUGCCCAGUUCUUGAGUAUGGGAGCCAUGGAAUCUGCGAUAUCCAUAAAAGAAGUAUUGGAGAUGCGCACAUUUUAAGUUAAGUCUUUAUUGCUACGUGAUUUGAAAUUCGUCAAUGUUUUUUUUAAUUUGACUGACAAAUGUAUUUUAAAUGUUGUCAAUAAAACACAUUGUAAUGUUAUAAA
This is a long non-coding RNA of Dalotia coriaria, 1203 nucleotides long. RefSeq lists it as uncharacterized. The record is from RefSeq and is a predicted model, not a curated record. Lineage: Eukaryota; Metazoa; Arthropoda; Insecta; Coleoptera; Staphylinidae. The transcript is spliced from 7 exons.